GCCUGGGGGGCUCAGUCGGUUAAGCGUCUGACUUCAGCUCAGGUCAUGAUUUCACAGCUCGUGGGUUCGAGCCCCGCGUCGGGCU
Non-coding RNA from Felis catus (domestic cat), 85 nucleotides. Lineage: Eukaryota; Metazoa; Chordata; Mammalia; Carnivora; Felidae. The record is from Rfam.